This is a long non-coding RNA of Monodelphis domestica (gray short-tailed opossum), 13097 nucleotides long. RefSeq lists it as uncharacterized. Lineage: Eukaryota; Metazoa; Chordata; Mammalia; Didelphimorphia; Didelphidae. The record is from RefSeq and is a predicted model, not a curated record.
UCUUCCUCUUUUUCAUUCUUUCUUUCUCUCAUUCUUUCUUCCUCUCAUUCUUUCUUCCUCUCAUUCUUCCUUCCUUCCUUCCUUCCUUCCUUCCUUCCUUCCUUCCUUCCUUCCUUCCUUCCUUCCUUCCUUCCUUCCUUCCUUCCUUCCUUCCUUCCUUCCUUCCUUCCUUCCUUCCUUCCUUCCUUCCUUCCUUCCUUCCUUCCUUUCUCUUCCUUUCAGUCUUAGCAUAGAUGCUAAGUAUCAGUUCCAAGAUAGAAGGAUGGUAAGGGCUAGGCAAUUGGGGCUCAGUGAUUUGCCCAGGGUCACACAACUAGGAAAUGUCUGAGGCCAGAUUUGAUCCCAGGACCUCCUGUCUCUAGGUUGACUAUUCAAUAAGACAUUUAGCUGACCCUUUGCCAUUUCCUUCCUCAGCUGAUUUUAUAUAUGAGGAAACUGAGGCAAAUAGGAUUUAGUGAAUUUCCCAGGGUCCCAUAGCCAGUAAGUAUCUGAGGCAAGAUAAGAACUCAAGUAGAUGACUCUUUCUGACUCCAAGUCUGGCAUCUUAUCCACGGCAUCACCUUAUUUUGUAGAUGAAGAAUCAUAAUCUGAUUGAGGUUAAGCAAUUUGUCCAAUACAGAGGCAGAAUUUUUAACUCCAUUUUUCCUGAUUGCAUGUCCUGUGCUCCAUCCAUUGUACCACCUAGCUUCUUGAAUCACAUUCCUGGACUGCUCUGGGGAUGAAAUGAAAAGUGUCUUGUCCUUGUCUCCCAGUUAACGAGGCCAUAUCUGAGACUACCUCCUGAAAUCUCUCUGGGAGAACCUGAUACAGAUAUCAGGAGCAACACUAAGUUGAGUACUACCACCCCCCGCCUCUCCCGCAUCUUGGAGUCUGCCAUGUUUGGAGCUUCCCCAAGCCACCAUUCUGUCCUUUCUACCUCCUCACGGUAUCUGGAUUGCUGGCAGCCCUGGUGGGAAUACACUGAAAGGGUAAGAUCUUCAUAUUCUCUCUGGAAAAAUGACUUUCCAGACCCAGGUGAUCUCCCUAAAUGCCACUGGUAGGUCAGAUGCUCUGAAUUAUCUUUGUUCUUGCUCUCCUUUCAUUCGGGCAUUAGGGAGGAGGAUCUAGCAUCAUCCCUCUGCUUUUUGCCACUGAUUUUUCUGUUUGGGUUUUUGAUUUUUCUGUUUGGUUUCUGACUGAAUGUGUUGUAUGAGAAAUCACAUUGAAAAGAGAUGUGGCAUGUUUGACUGUUCUUAUGGCCAGGGUAAGAGGUCAAGGGCAUUCUCAGAAAGGGGACCUCAGAAAGUGUUACCAUUUCUUUUGUUUCUCUUUCAUGAUUUUACUUAACUUUCAUUUCAUUUUACUUUGAUUUAAUCUACCCCAAACCAUGUUUAUUAACUCUUCCUGCAAGCCUUUGUGAACUUUGUUUCAGAAUAUUUUCUGCAUGGAUUUUCUAAAGGAACUCAGCACAGUGGGAGGAAAAUAUUUCUUUUUGGAAGCAGGGGACCUGGGUUCAAAUUCCCCUUUGGAAUUGUUGUGACUUAAAUUUUUUUUAUUAAUUAAUUUUUAGAUGUGUCACUUUGAGCAAGUAAUCUAAUCUCUCCAGAUAUAAUCUUCAUCCAUACAUGGGGAAACAUUCAUAUUAUAAAACUGCUUUCAUUUUUCUAUUCAAUGUUGUCUAAAGAGAACAUAGAGAAUGGGAAGACAAUUGAGGAAGAUUUGAAAAGGACCAGAGCUUUGUGGAGAAAGUGGAAAGGUAGGACUGAAGAAAGGGAAGAAUUCUGUCCUAGAUGGUCCUUUGCCUUGAAGCUAUUGAUCCCCUGAGGUGAGAGCUGAAAUCAUCAUUGCUUGCUUCUCUUUUCUGUCUGAUCACUGUUUCUGGGGGGGUCCCAGGAAGGGAUGCAGUCAACUCUAUGCUUGGUGGAGCUAAAGCCCUGUCUUCCUGCAUUGAUUCUUUGAGAAGAACUCAGGCCCACCAGUCCUGGACCCUUUCAGUGUUAAAGAGAAAACCCAGUGGGCCUCCUUCUGUGCAGUUUCAUUGUCCUGUCCAUAGUGUGAUCAGAGGGGAGAGGGUAAGAAAAAUGACUUGUUCAUUUCCAGUUCACUGUCUUCCCCUGCCUUGGGGGCUGCUUGGCGCAGGGAAAACAACCCUAGACUUCAUGUCACUUUGGAGACCUGGGCUGUAGCUCUUCUGCUUACAAGCUUCAACUUUAGUUAUUUCAUAGUAAGUUAUUCCACCUCUGCCUAAGCCUCAUUUCCUCCUCUCUAAAGUGAGGAUAAUAGUAUUUGCCCUGCCUACCUCACCAGUUCUUGUGAGAAUUCCAUUUAGAUAAUAGAUAUUAAAAGACUUUGUAAAUAGCAAAGUACAAUCUAGACUAUAUGAUUUCUUUCCCUUUCUCUCUCUUUUUCUCCCUUUCCUCUUCUCUUUCUCUCUCUCCCUCCUCUUUCCAUCUCUGUCCCCUUCCUUCUAACCCCCUUUUAUUUCAUUUCCUUGACUCUAUUUGUUUUGAUAGGUAUCUGCAAGUUUAUCUUGGCAAAGAUGGGGGAAAGUCCAAAGCCUACAAGGCAAGUGAACAUUACCUGAUUCAAGAGGUACAUUGCUCAUGAAGCCCUGUGCUUAUUUUAGGGAAAGGGGAUAAAAGGUGGGAACCUGGGAAGCAUAGAUCCCUUGACUUGAAUUAAAGUGCCUGAAAGCAGCCUUGAGAAAAGGACUUCACCCAUGGCCUACCACCAGUAUCUCUGGUCACGUCUCUCAAUAGUUCCUAAUCAGAGUCAAAACUAGGGUGGUAUAACGGGUACUUUUCCUCAAAGCACUGACAUUGAGAGAGUACUAACUAGGAAGAAUUUCCUCUCAGUGUAGAAUUCAGUGACAUUGAUCUUGUUCUAGGGUAAUAUUCUUCCUCUCUCUGGAAACUACACUCAAGCCCUGGCCCUCAGUAGUGGCCAAAUCUCCAGCAGCUAUUUCUCCAUGUGUACUUCCUUACCUCAGUGGUUCCACCUUUACUGAGCUUCCACUGACCCUUCACCCUUUGCUGUAUCCUCCUCUUUACAUUAUCCCAGGUUUAAAAAUUCCUAGUUACUGCUCUCCUUCUUAGAAAUUUUCUGAUUGGUCCUUAUGUAUAAGGGGAAUCUCCCCAACUAGACUGGACAGUAGGGACCAUGUCUCCUCUUUUUCUUAAACUUCUCACAAUGUUUAGUGCUUGCUAAAAGUAGAUACUUGCUAAAGGCACGUUUGGCUGAUGGAUGACCCCCUUCUUGCCUCCUGUCCCAUACAUUACUUAUGCCUACCACGUAUAUGAUAUUGAUACUUUAUAUGUGUUAGUAUGCUGCUCAGGGAUGGGCAUUAGUCCUCUUCAGAGUAUCAUCCCUUCUCUGAGCUGCCGUAGCAUUGGGCAUUGAUAAAACCCACUUGAUCAUCUCAGCCAUGGCCUGGGAUUUUUCUUUAUUUUGCAAAUGCUUAUCUUAUCUAUCUAGGGUUUCCUAUCUAGAGUCUAAGCUCCUUGAGUUCAGUGACUAUCUCUCACACAAUGAUCCUUUGCACUUAUCCAGGAAUCAGACUUCUGGUAACCUCAACUAUCUAUGACAUAGCCAUGAACCUGAAAUUUAGCCCAAUUAAAUUAAAAUUAAAUACCUACUGUGGAUAAGACAAAAACACCUUGGAGUGUCAAAUAGCUGUUAAUAUGUAUAUGCUGAGCAGGGGAGGCAGAACUGCCUCACUAGACAAUUGUACAUAAAAUAAGGCAGCAAUUUUGAGACGAUUAACACAAUGACAGCUGCUUUUGGCCUUGUAAGAAAAUGUGUUGUGGCAUAAAAAAAGAAAUUUGAAAAAAUGACAAGUAAUAGCUGUGGGAGAAGAUAGACAAAUUAGAGAAACUCAUUAGUCUGGGGAUAUUUAGUGUCAGGGCAAACAGGUUUUCGUCUCUCUGGAGUACCUGUGAGUAUGACUCAACUGUCAUUAAUGUUCAUAAUAAAGAGCCUUAAAUCAUCAAGAAAAAAUUAAAUUGUAUUCUGUGUCCUCUCUUUCAGAAAGAAGUGAAACAUGUAAUCCACUUGGAAAUAGUUUUAUUCUAAAUGGUUAAAAUGGGGGAAAAUGUUUUGGGUAACCAAGACAGGGCCAAUGGAUCUUUGCCCCAGGGCACUGGCAUUGGCUGGGUGAGAGGAGAGACACUUCCUGUUAACAAGGCAUAUUUCUAUCCUUCUUUUUCUAAGUAGAUGUACUUGGUAUGGGACUGUCCUCUGGGCUGAUGUACCCAAGUCCUAACCCUCUCCCUGACUUCUACCUCCCUGCCGGGUAGCUGUGGAACUCCAUUCAUGACCCCAGAAUUUCUAGCACAUCUGGAUUUGCCCCAGGCACUGUUUCAUCUCCUUCAAAGAGAUUCAUGUGUGUAAAGCACUUUGCAAACCUUGAAACACUGUAUGUAUGUUAGCUAUUAUUAUUAUUACUAAAGAUACUAUUUAUAAGGGAUGAGCUACAGUUAUCUGAAAAAUUUACUUUUGUGGAAUAAUUCAUUUCCAGAGGAUGCUGUAGAAAUGAAAUGAUACUAUAUUGUUUUACAUCCUUGUCAAUAUCUAUAUGACAGAGUUCCUUAUUCAAUGUAGGGACAUGACUUUAGCGGGAAGGGAUGCUGGAGAUUAUCUAUUUCAACCCUCAUUUUGCAGGUGAGGAAAAUGACUUGCUGAAGGGCAAAUAGCCAAUAAGUGGCAGAUCUAGGUUUAAAACCCUUGACUCUAAAAAUGAGAGCUCUUGACUUUUGAUGAUUAUAUGUUUCCAAGGCUCAGGUGCUUUGUUUACAGAGAAAGUGGCAGGUCAAAUGUGGGCUUUACCUCCGGAAGAAGGUUUAUCUUUAGAUUCUGCCCCUGCAAUAUUUUGGUGAUCCUGAAUCCUGGGAGAGUGGGUGGUCAAAUGUAUCUUUGGUGCUAUGCCACUUUCGUUACUCCCAGAAUUCAUCCAUUGGGGGCAAAUGAUGGGGGGAGAGUCUUCCAAUUUAGAUGCUGGUUGAGCAGAGGAAUGCUCAAUGGCCAGGAAUCCCACCCAGGUGUGAGAAGCACAGUUGGCCCAUUAAGUCAAAAGUAGCAUUAAAGAGCCUAGGAAGAAAAAAAAAGGAAAAAAAAAGACAUCUGUUGCCCCCACAUGGCUCCUUAACAUUGCUUUUUCGACAGAACACAAGCUGCAGAUGUAAGCCAGGAGCCCUAGGCAGCUUGCAUAGGACAGGCCUUUUUUCCCCUCCUUCCACUGUGGUAGUGCCCUCUGGGGCUGGGCAAUUUUGUCUAAUAUCUAAUUCAUUUUGUAGAGUCAAACUCAUUACUGUUUGGGAAUAGCGUGCAGAUUUUAUUUUCUUUUAAUCCAGCCGACACAAGCAAUUUUCAAGUCCUUCUUUACCGUGGAGAGCGAUCCUCCCCGAUGGCAGGCAAUGCUGAGGCUGCAGUUUGAUUUAUUUGGGAGGGUGGCAGCAAAUAGCUUAGGAGAUAAUCAGGCUGGUGAUGGACAGACAGGAAAGUGGAUGCACUGCACAUACUUAAGAGUCAGCAGUGGGGCAUAGCUUGGCCCUCUGGAAAGAAGAGAGAGUCAUCUUCCAGUGUGGCAUCACAAGAUCCUGGGAUGUCAGAGAUGGUAAGGACUCUAUGGCUACCAGCUUCCCAUCCUUCCGCCACCCCUUCUUCCUUGUCUUGUUUUAUAGAUGGGAAAACUGAGCUCCCAGAGAGAAAUCCAUGGAAAGGUCACCACAUGGACAAAGGGGACAGCAGAAGAACUGAAUACAGAAACAGGAUUCCACAGCCUUCCCAUAAGGAGAGCUGAGUCCAGUGACUGAGUGAGAUGUUAUUUAGGGAAAAUCUGCUUUGGUUUGAAAUAGGAAGCUGCAGGACCCUGCGAUGCCAGCAGUUUUCUUCGGGGGCAUCUGCUGGAAGAAAGCAAAACCAGAUUUUUAAUUCUAUUCAUCAGGUGAAGAUCAUCAUGAGGGUGCUCUGGGAUCCCAGAGCUUGGGUUUAUGCCAAGUAUCAUAGCAAAGAGUGACCUUUUGGAACCAGGCCAGCAGAAUCUGAGUCUAGAAUUCAUCUGGCAGUCAUGCCACAUUUGAUGGGAACUUGAUGGGAUCAAUGCUCCAUAGGAACUGAACCAAGUUUCGAGCCACUCCCCCAGAGACCAAGCAACCCUUGGAGCAGGCGCUUUUAUCCCCAUUCUACAGCUAAGGAACCUGAGGCAGAAAUGAAGUGAAAUGCUCUCAGGCUGGAUUUGAGCUCAUAUUUUCUUGACUCCAGGCUCAGUGUUCUAUCUACUGUCUCAAAUAAAUGAAUAAAAAUUAAAAUCGAACUCCCAUUUGUGGCAGAGUAGUGUACCAUGUGUGACCUGAACCCCAAAGUCCAUUUGCAUGGAUGACGUAUUAAAUAAUCAAUCUCUUUCACUAAGGAGAAUCCCAGGCAAAUAAAUAGGCUUUGAGUGGUUAGAAAGGUAUCUGAGUAGCAGUCACAUUAGUGUUAUGAGGCAGAACUCCAGCAAGACUAAGUAGCCUGAGGUCAUUAUCCCCUGCCUCCUCAUCACUUUUGAGCUUUCCUUGACCAUCUCUGGCUCUCUGUCUCUGUGUCUCUCUAUUCAUAUUAUACACAUAUACACAUUUGCUUAUACACACACCUACAUGCUUACAUACACACACACACACAUAUUUAUAUAUAAGUUUGGGGGUUCCAGGAAAAUUAUCCAUGGGACCAGAACAAAUACCCACAGGAUUUGGAGGCUAGAUUAGGAAUGUUUGCCUGGUUCAGGCAUAGAUUUAGGGGAAAAGGGAAUCUGGAGUAGGAACCGGGUAGACCCUGAUAUUCAAGAACAAUGGUAAGGGUCAGGUCCCAGGGUACCUUUUGAUCAAAGCUUCUUUACCUUUUUUGAGUCACUGACUCCUUUGGCAGUCCAGUAUGCAUUCCCUCUUAGAAUGUUUUUUAAAUCUUUGGAGGAAAUGCAAAUUUCUGGUAGAAAUUAUUGAGGAGGCAGCUAGGUGACUCAAUGGAUGGAAAGCCAGGCUUAGAGAUGAUAGGUCCUAGGGUCAGAUCUGGUCUCAGACACUUCCUAGCUGUGUGACCCUGGGCAAGUAACUUAACCCCCAAUACUUAGCCCUUAUGGCUCUUCUGCCUUGGAACCAAAUAUACAGUAUUGAUUCUAAAACAGAUGGUAAGUAGUGAAAUUGUCAGCUCUGGGAGGGGGGAAGGAAGAGGAGAGGGAGACAACAAGAAUCAUGUAACCAUGGGAAAAAUAAAAAAAAAACAGAAGGUAAGGAUUUUUAAAAAGAAAUUAUUUAAAAUAAAUAUGUAAUUUUUUCCAUACAUGUUUAUGCCCCCCCCCGAAAUCUAUUCAUGGACUCCUUCUGGGUCAGUGGACCCCAGGUGAAGAAACCCUGCAUUAGUGUCAUAGACUGUUAGGAUUGGACAAGAUCUUUUAGUCUUUUUACAAAUAAGAAAACAAGAUGAGAAGAAUUAGACAUUCUUGUGUUUAUAUAGCUAGUUUUGGGAGGUGACAAGGACUAGGAUUUGGUCUUUUGACUUGGGGUUUACUAGGGGAGAUGCUGAGAAUGUACUGGGAGAGGCUCCAUUCCAAGGGAAGUGUCAUUGAAACUUUUUCUGGGAGGCUGAGAAUGUAGGAGUCCUUGGGGAUGACAAAGCCGGGCACACUCAGGCAAUCAUAAAAAUCACUCUUCACUGAGAAGCCGCCUUCCUUCCCAUGCAAUCUUCCUCGGCAGCUAAGCAGCUCCACCUUCUGCCCUCCUUUUAUUUUCUUCUACUGUUAAUGAUUUUUGUAGUUAAUGAGAUUUCUCCCCCCAACCCCUUCUCUAAUUACAUGACUCCAGGGUCACAUUUGAUAACCAGCAAGCUGUCUACUUAUACACCCCCCCCCUUUUGCAACUUUUCUGUUUUGACCCCUUUAUUUUCUGCUGUUAAAAAGAAAAACAAAGUAUGUCUCUCGGAAGACAGUUACUCUUCGUUCUGGAGUCCAAAUACAGUAGUUCCCAGUGUUGGCAAGGCAAGGUGAUUGAUUUGUGGUGCAGGAAGACAGACUUGCUUCCCCAAACCCUAAUAAAGGCACCUGCCUCAUGCACCUGUUGAACCCUGUCUCCUAAGCUAAAGUGUAAGCAAUUGGAGGGCAGUUCCCAUCAUUUCUCCUUGCCUAGUAAACCCUCAACCUCUAUUUCCAAGGGUCAAGUGCACACAGAUGGGCACACUAGAUUCUCAAUAAAGACAUUCUUGAUUAUUUGAUGUACAUUAUCAUUAAGGAAAUGUCAUGUACCUUGUGAAGAUGGCUGGAGUCAGUGGUCUCAAACCAUCCCAUUAAAAAAAAAAACACCUUACUUUUGACUUUAGUUAACAACUCUAAGUCAGAAGGGUAAGGGCUAGGCAAACAGUGUUAAAUGACUUGCCCAGGGUCACACAGCUAGGAAGUAUCUGAGGGCAGAUUUGGCCCCAGGUCCUCCUAACUUCAGAUCUGAUGCUCUAUCCACUGUACCCUUAGCUUUCCCAAACCAUCCCUUAUACUAUAGAACUAAUUGUAUUUUUAGGAGAAGGGCAGGGGAACCUGGACCAGAGCCUGUUCCGGAUUUGGGGAUGCCAGGGCUGUGACUCUUCAUUUCCUUGUUCUCUUUGUGGUACAGCUCUAUUAAGCCUGGGUACCUGGUGACUUUUCUAUUAUAUCUGUUUGGGUGCUAUUGUGUUGUAUGUGUUCUAGGCAAGGGGAAGGAGGGAAUCUCGUGAAUGAGUUACACCAUAACUUCUGUAGGGCUUAAGGUACAACGUAUAGCAAAGAACUGGGCAGGGACACGCCGUUGGACUUACUCAGGGCUGCCUGACAACUGAGGAGGAACACUAAUGGUCAGUGUGGGAAAAAUGAGUGUAGGGAAUGUUGACCCCCAAGACUAGGUACUUCUCAGUUCAAUGUUUCUUCAUCCAUCUCUCCCUCCCCUCCUCACAUCACCUUAAUCAACUAAUCAUUUUUGGAACUGAAACCAACCGCCUGGUCAAGUUAUGGUAAAGAUGCCAGUUUGGGGUAUUUGGAGACCUAUUACCAAGGGGCUGCUAGUAAAUGUUUAACAGGCUCUGCUAAAAGUAUGGCACACUUUAAAGUUUGAACUGUAUUAUUUACAUUUUUUCCCACCACUUUAAGUAGAGAAAAUCAACAAGACAAUAAAUCAAGCCCUGUUUUUUUUUUUUUCAGUAUUUGCUGAUUUCCUAGGUGUAAAUGCUUACAAUGAAAAGCCUAACAAAUUGGUCCCCAAAACCCAUUAAAGUUGGCUCCAGUUCACCUUGGCUUUUUACCCUGAAUGCUGAGAUACCCUUUAUUUUAUUUUAUGCUGAAAUAUUUUAUUUUUUCCAACUAUAAGUACAAAUAAUUUUUACAUGUGAUUUGAAGAACCUAGUUCUAAAUUCUCUCCCUCCAUUCCUGCCUCCAUGAGACAAGCAAUUUUAUAUAUUAUUCAUGUUCCAUCUGAUGCCUUUAAAAUAUCUCCUUUCAAUUGCCUUUUUUUAAACCCUUACUUUCCAUCUUGUAACAACUCUAAGGGCAAGGGCUAGGCAAAUGGGGUUAAGUGACUUGCCCAGGGUCACACAGCUAGGAAAUGACCCAGGUCCUCCCACCUCUGGCUCUGACUUUCAAUCCACUGAGCCACCCAGCUGCCCCCAAGAAUAUCAUUUUCUACCUUGAUCCCUAAAUGGAAUAUUUAGAGUAUCCUAAUUCUGUUCUUAUGUGUUCUUUUAGCCUUUGGAGAAAAGAGGGCAGAGCGGCACUGAGGAGUGAGAUGCAGUUCAAUGUUAAUGCUUUUUUUUGGAGUUAUCUAAUAUCCAAUGCUCUCCUAGCUGCCAAAAUUGAACCUAUUAAUGCUAUUGCCUAUAAUGAAGAGCUACAUCAGAUGAUCUUUUGAUAUCUUUUCUAGCUCUAAGAUGAGAUUUUAUGAUUCUAAUAUUCCUGCUUUGACAUUUCAUUAAUAAUAAUGUUUAUGAAAUAAUUGAUCAUGCCUUUAUUGAGAAUCCAGUGUGCUAUACCCUGUGCACUCUACCCCUGGGAGUCGGGGUUGGGGGUUUAGUGACCAAGGAGAAACUAUGGCCUCUGACCUUAAAUAGCUUAGAAGUCAGGGUUCAUUCACUUCAGUGAUCCUUGGCUUCCUUGGUACAGUUUGGGAAGCCUCCCUCAAUGAUACCUAUCACAACUCCACUAAGCCUUGGGAAGUCUGCCAGUCUAGUGAUUAUCCUUUCCACGUCUAGUCAGAUUGGUCCUUAGAUAUAAAGUCCUUGGACAGACAGGACUCUGGGCUGGUAUUCGAAGCCUUUCCAGCUGGGUAAGACCUUGAAGAAUUCAUUCAUUGUCAGUUUUGCCUUAGAGUAUUCAGGGUCAUCUACACACAGCAAGGAGGCAUGGAAACUAGGGCUUUGGUGGAAAGUGGGAUCUUUCCCAGGAUCCCACAGAAGGCAAGAUUCUAGCAGCCUCUGGAGUCAUUUUUUUUAAUGCUUUCAGAUUUGCAAAGAAGCUUACAUAGAUUAACUCAAUUAAUUCUCACACCUUUGUGAGGUAGGUGAUUUUGUCAUCCCCACUUUACAAACGAGGAAAUUGAAGCUAAGAAAUUGAAGCAGCUAGGUGGUGCUCUGGGUCUGGAAUCAGGAAUACCUGAAUUCAAAUCCAGACAUUUACUAGUUCUGUGAUCCUGGGCAAAUCAGUUCGUUUCUGACUGCCCCAGUUUUGUCAACUGUAAAAAAAAAAUUGAGAUAAUGAUAGCACCUUCCUCCUAGAGUUCAUGUAAAGAUCAAAUGAGAUAAUAUUUGUAAACCCUUAGCAUGGUGCCUAGAGCAUAGUAGGUGCUUAAUAAAUGCUUAUUCUCCCUUCUCCCUACCUAAGGGUCAUAGCACCUCAAGCAGGAUUUAAAUUUAGUACCUUCCAGGAGCAAUGCUCUACCCACUGUCCUACCUAGCCACCACGAACCCCUUUUGUAGCCUCAGGUUCUGCAUGGAUUCAGCUGUGGUUCUUUCACUCUUCUGUUGUCCCAAAUUCUGAAUCAGUCUCAGACCUUAUGUGAUCUUCUUGUUCUUGUCUCUGCUCCCCAGAUGACUGGGACUCCUCUAUGUUUACCCAGCCGUUUCUGUCCUUACAGCUGCUUUGGACUUUUGUUUCUCUAUUGUCUAGUCUUCCCAUUUGAACUGUCCAUCUUGGUCAUGAUAGCUUUUCCCAGAACCUCUUGCACAGGACCUUUUUCUGAUCAGUGCAGCAGGGAAGGGGAAAGAACUGCAUGAUGACACUCAGAACUCCUUGGGCAUCUCUUCUAGUAUGACUCUUCAAUGCAAGCCUGCUACAGAAGUUUGAUACUUCAUGUAUUUAAUUCACUGAAUUUGCCCAGUGUAUGAGGUGAAGACCUUUGGGGGUCUCAGAGUCCCCAUCAGGAAAUGGUAAGGUUGGGCCGGAUGAUUGCUUAGUUCUCUUUUAUCCCUAUGAUACUAUUCUGUGCACCAUUUCUGUACGUCUUGAUGUCUUUCUGGUCUUUGUUCAUUCUCGUAGAUAGCUGGAGUUUUAUGAGCAGCGUCAGGGCUGUUUGAUGUGACCUAAUCAGGGAGUCUUCCUUGUAGGGACUAGGGAAGCAGGGACCCAAGAGAGACAGGAGCCAGAGACAGAAACCGUGUUUUUGGCAGUUAAAUUAUGAACCAACAACUUCCAAAGAGGAGCCUUUUCAUCCAUCUCCAGAGAAGAUGGAAACAAGGAAAAGUUGGGGGCAGAAAGUACUUUGGAGAGUGGUUACUCAAACUGUGGCUCAGAAAAGGUAUUUCUCUGCUAUUUCCUUCCUUCCUAAAUGGAACGAGGUCACCCUUGGAAGGGGGCUGCUGGGGUAGUUUGGAGAGAACAGCUCUAUGUGCUCAACAAGGACUGGCAGUGGAAGCUGCAUUGGGGAGCUUCAUUAGGAGGGGUUGGGCUGAGUGCUUGGAGAGUCCUAGGUAAAGGGAAGCUGCAGGAGUGCCAGAUGUUGCUUAUUAAAUGGUGUCCUAAUAGGCACCAAGACCAUUUGGUCUGGCCCGCUGCAUCCCACGACCUCAGGGAACCACGACUGUUGAUGCUUGUAGCCCAGCUGUUUAGAAGCAGUAGAACAAGCAUAAAUACCAUAAGUUACUUUUUUUUUUAAGUUAGAUUUCCUUUAGAAGCAUAAAGUUUCCUAAUGGGGCAUUUUCAGGUCUGUGUUAUCCUGAUGGUGGCAGGAAAUCUGAGUAGGACCAGGUUCUUUUCUUUCAUUUUUUCUCCUCCAGACCCAAUGAAUUAGGGACAAAGCCCCAUGGGAUAAAAUGUUGGAUUUGGAGUUAGAAUACCUAUGUUUGAAUCCUGUAUAAUUAGCUGUGUGAUCAUAGGUAAGUCCCUUAAUCAACAUCAACCUCAGUUUUCUAAUCUGUAAAAUGGACAUAAUUCUAAUACCUCAUAUGGUGGUUGUAAGGGUCAAAUGCGAUAGUGAAUGUAAUGUGCAAUUGAAACUGUAAGGUGCUCUGUAAAUAUUAUCAUCAAACUCUUGUCCACCUGAGCUGGAGAGGGAUUAACUUUCCAGUUCUUCAAUGGGCAACCAGAGAAGAAUAGUCACAUGAAAAUCAGCUUUGGAUGGCCAGUGACAAACUUUCCCAUUACAAGACUUAGAGAAUAACUGCACACAUUCCUAAUUUGUAGGCAGUUUGGUCCAAAAAAAAGGCAAUAGUAUUAGGGGACAUUUUUCUAUGUUGUGGAGUGGAGAGGAUUGGACUUGGAGUAAAUCAGUAGCCUGGGUGCUAGUCCUGUCUGUUACUUUGAGUGAGGAUGACACAAUUAUCUGCUAAUGGGGCACCAGAGCCAAAGUCAGGAAAAUCUGGGUUCAAAUUCUACUUCCUUUACUUACUAUGUGACUGUAGACAGGCAAUCUAUAUAGCUUAACCUCUCUGACUCAGUUUCCUUAUUUAUAAAAUGUGAAUAAUAAUAGUACCUAUUUUACAUUGGCUAAGAUCAUGUACAUAAAAUGCUUUAUAAAUUUUGGAGUUAUGGAAAUGUCAGGUAUUAUCAUCAGAACCGGACACAUACUAGGUUCUUAAUAAACAUUUGUUGAGUUAAAUUAAAUUAUGUGACUGUGGACAAGCCACCUCUUUCUUGCCAUCUC